AACACGACUCUCGGCAACGGAUAUCUCGGCUCUCGCAUCGAUGAAGAACGUAGCAAAAUGCGAUACCUGGUGUGAAUUGCAGAAUCCCGCGAACCAUCGAGUUUUUGAACGCAAGUUGCGCCCGAGGCCUUCUGGCCGAGGGCACGUCUGCCUGGGCGUCACGC
This 164-nucleotide ribosomal RNA is filed under the name Aristida havardii. RNAcentral's name for it is "5.8S ribosomal RNA". It matches the Rfam family "5.8S ribosomal RNA". From Rfam's summary of the family: 5.8S ribosomal RNA (5.8S rRNA) is a component of the large subunit of the eukaryotic ribosome. It is transcribed by RNA polymerase I as part of the 45S precursor that also contains 18S and 28S rRNA. RNAcentral also lists the same sequence under 2 other names. Lineage: Eukaryota; Viridiplantae; Streptophyta; Magnoliopsida; Poales; Poaceae. The record is from RNAcentral.